GUGAAUCUUCUCCCCCCCACCCCCGAAGGAUGUAGAAAGAAAUCCACAGGGCGAUUCGUGGGAAGGAAAAACAAGCCGUGGGAGGAAGCGGAACGAGGGCCAGUGGCGGACGAAGAGAGGACAGCAGUGAGCUGAGCAGAGUCAAUCUCGGAUUUUCAAAAUUGACUGAGUGAAUCACUCAAAAAGAACAGCAGGAUUGUGUUGACGCUAAGUGCGCCAUGCUUGCGGUUUGCAGGAUGAUGUGGGCUACAGAGCAAACGGGUCAACUUUCAACAUCAAGUCCUCCCUGGAACUGAGCACCGUGGUAUUGAGGAUUCAAAAUGAAACUCUUCUUUAAGGCAGUGGGAGGGGAAGGGGGCAGAUGGGAAAAGUAAAUUAAAAUAUCAGAUUACAGCAUACGCUGUAUUGUAAGACGGAACAAACUGUUCGGAGGAAACUCAUUAGGUCAUGUCAAUCCUCACUCUUUAAACUAAUUUGCCAACUAGUAGCCACAAAAAAACGAACACAAUUCAAAGAUCGGUUCUCCAAAACAAAAACAGAAAGUCAUCACUCCAAAAUGCACGUUUGCAUGCAAGCACUCUCACCCCACCCCCUCCUCAGGAAGUCCAUUCAAAUUAGAUUUUGAAACAUUAUUUUCCCAAACAACUGUCAAUGACAUUACCUGACAGGAGAGUCAUAUCCCUCUGGACCAUGCCGAAAGGAAGCGUCACCCUCCCGGAGAGAUUACCGCUUCAUACUUCCAACACAGGCAGCGUAAACAAUGUGCCGAGAGGAAACGUGAUUAAAAAAAAAAAAAAAAGGUGCACAGCUGUGUUGCAGAAAAG
Syngnathus typhle (broad-nosed pipefish) is the source of this 824-nucleotide long non-coding RNA. RefSeq lists it as uncharacterized. The record is from RefSeq and is a predicted model, not a curated record. The transcript is spliced from 3 exons. Lineage: Eukaryota; Metazoa; Chordata; Actinopteri; Syngnathiformes; Syngnathidae.